Molecule: transfer RNA, 65 nt
Filed under: Scaphoideus varius
Lineage: Eukaryota; Metazoa; Arthropoda; Insecta; Hemiptera; Cicadellidae
Description: tRNA-Phe
Source: RNAcentral
AUUUGUAUAACUUAUAUAGAGUAUAUCAGUGAAGUUGAUAAUGAAACAAUUUUUGUUUACAAAUA